This is an unclassified non-coding RNA of Mesocricetus auratus (golden hamster), 252 nucleotides long. Its record names the gene 7SK. It matches the Rfam family "7SK RNA". From Rfam's summary of the family: 7SK was discovered as an abundant small nuclear RNA in the mid-70s but a possible function has only recently been suggested. Two independent studies have found that 7SK RNA binds the CDK9/cyclin T complex (known as elongation factor P-TEFb). The record is from Ensembl. Lineage: Eukaryota; Metazoa; Chordata; Mammalia; Rodentia; Cricetidae.
GGAUGGGAGGGAGAUCCAGCUGCGACAUCUGUCCCCCCAUUGAUUGCCAGGGUUGGUUCGGCUGAUCUGGUUGACUAGGCAGGUGUCCCCUUCCUCACCGCUCCAUGUGCGUCCCUCCCGAAGCUUUGUGUUGGUCAAGGGUAUAUGAGUAGCUGUGCUCUCCUGCUAGAACCUCCAAACAAGCUCUCAAGAUACCACAAUCGAAGUGGGGCAAACGGACAGGCCCCAAACCAAAGCAACAACUAAAACCAU